AACGAACGCUGGCGGCAUGCCUAACACAUGCAAGUCGAACGAGACCUUCGGGUCAAGUGGCGCACGGGUGCGUAACGCGUGGGAACCUGCCCUUAGGUUCGGAAUAACUCCCCGAAAGGGGUGCUAAUACCGGAUAAUGUCUUCGGACCAAAGAUUUAUCGCCUUUGGAUGGGCCCGCGUUGGAUUAGCUAGUUGGUAGGGUAAAAGCCUACCAAGGCGACGAUCCAUAGCUGGUCUGAGAGGAUGAUCAGCCACACUGGGACUGAGACACGGCCCAGACUCCUACGGGAGGCAGCAGUGGGGAAUAUUGGACAAUGGGCGAAAGCCUGAUCCAGCAAUGCCGCGUGAGUGAUGAAGGCCUUAGGGUUGUAAAGCUCUUUUACCCGGGAUGAUAAUGACAGUACCGGGAGAAUAAGCUCCGGCUAACUCCGUG
Molecule: ribosomal RNA, 433 nt
Filed under: uncultured bacterium
Lineage: Bacteria
Description: partial 16S ribosomal RNA
Rfam family: Bacterial small subunit ribosomal RNA
Source: RNAcentral